GAUGAACGCUGGCGGCGUGCCUAAUACAUGCAAGUCGAGCGAACAGACGAGGAGCUUGCUCCUCUGACGUUAGCGGCGGACGGGUGAGUAACACGUGGAUAACCUACCUAUAAGACUGGGAUAACUUCGGGAAACCGGAGCUAAUACCGGAUAACAUGUUGAACCGCAUGGUUCAACAGUGAAAGAAGGUCUUGCUGUCACUUAUAGAUGGAUCCGCGCCGCAUUAGCUAGUUUGUAAGGUAACGGCUUACCAAGGCAACGAUGCGUAGCCGACCUGCGAGGGUGACCGGCCCCACAGGAACUGAGACACGGUCCAGACUCCUACGGGAGGCAGCAGUAGGGAAUCUACCGCAAUGGGCGAAAGCAUAACGGAGCAACGUCGCGUGAGUGAAGAAGGUCUUCGGAUCGUAAAACUCUGUUAUUAGGGAAGAACAAAUGUGUAAGUAACUAUGCACGUCUUGACGGUACCUAAUCAGAAAGCCACGGCUAACUACGUG
RNAcentral lists this ribosomal RNA (497 nucleotides) under uncultured bacterium. RNAcentral describes it as "partial 16S ribosomal RNA". It matches the Rfam family "Bacterial small subunit ribosomal RNA", at positions 28 to 507 of the family's 1533-position model. The record is from RNAcentral.